RNAcentral lists this ribosomal RNA (286 nucleotides) under uncultured prokaryote. RNAcentral describes it as "partial 16S ribosomal RNA". It matches the Rfam family "Bacterial small subunit ribosomal RNA", at positions 524 to 819 of the family's 1533-position model. The record is from RNAcentral.
UACGUAGGGGGCGAGCGUUACCCGGAAUCACUGGGCGUAAAGGGAGCGUAGGUGGCCUGACAUGUCGACUGUGAAAACCCGGAGCUCAACUCCGGACUUGCAGUUGAAACUGCCAGGCUUGAGGACGGUAGAGGAAGACGGAACUGCCAGUGUAGGGGUAAAAUCCUUAGAUAUUGGCAGGAACGCCGGUGACGAAGGUGAUUUUCUGGGCCGGUUCUGACACUGAUGCUCGAAAGCCGGGGGAGCGAACGGGAUUAGAUACCCCCGUAGUCCCUGAGCGGGCUGG